This 442-nucleotide ribosomal RNA is filed under the name uncultured bacterium. RNAcentral's name for it is "partial 16S ribosomal RNA". It matches the Rfam family "Bacterial small subunit ribosomal RNA", at positions 338 to 795 of the family's 1533-position model. The record is from RNAcentral.
CCUACGGGUGGCAGCAGUGAGGAAUAUUGGUCAAUGGCCGGAAGGCUGAACCAGCCAUGCCGCGUGAAGGAAGAAGGCUUUCGGGUUGUAAACUUCUUUUAAGAGGGAAGAGCAGAAGACGGUACCUCUUGAAUAAGCCACGGCUAACGACGUGCCAGCAGCCGCGGUAAUACGUCGGUGGCAAGCGUUGUCCGGAUUUACUGGGUGUAAAGGGCGUGCAGCCGGGAAGACAAGUCAGCUGUGAAAUCCCGCGGCUCAACCGCGGAACUGCAGUUGAAACUGUUUUUCUUGAGUACCGGAGAGGUCAUCGGAAUUCCUUGUGUAGCGGUGAAAUGCGUAGAUAUCAGGAAGAACACCAGUGGCGAAGGCGGAUGACUGGACGGCAACUGACGGUGAGGCGCGAAAGCGUGGGGAGCAAACAGGAUUAGAUACCCCAGUAGUC